AUUCAUCUGCUGUCUGAUCCCAGCCUCAGGCUCCGACUCAAGAGUGUCUUCCAGAGGAACGGUUCUGUGGGGAUGUUCUACAUCACAAACAUCAGCCACUCCACAACAGAGAAAGUGUUAUUGAUGUUUUUCUAAAGCCAUUCCUCCAACCACAUGUAUUAUUAGAGUGGACGGUCAAAAUUGCACCAAUAUACAAGGAUGUUAUAAUGUGCACCAGGCGACAUACAGAUGUCAAACAUGCCAGCAGCAGUGCAGCCCUGAUUUAAAGGACCCGAUUAGGAGUGGAUAUUGGCCAGCAUCUGUCAACAUGUCUGCUCUUUACACUUAGACCCUUGAGCUCCUUCCAGGAACUAAAAGUAUUUUCUCCAUGAUU
Molecule: long non-coding RNA, 373 nt
Organism: Oreochromis niloticus (Nile tilapia)
Lineage: Eukaryota; Metazoa; Chordata; Actinopteri; Cichliformes; Cichlidae
Exons: 3
Source: RefSeq, a predicted model, not a curated record